GACGAACGCUGGCGGCGUGCUUAACACAUGCAAGUCGAGCGAGGCCCCUCCUUCGGGAGGGUGUCCUAGCGGCGAACGGGUGAGUAACACGUGGGCAACCUGCCCUCAGCUCUGGGAUAACUCCGGGAAACCGGGGCUAAUACCGGAUACGACCUCCACUGGCACCUGCGGAGGCGGAAAGUUUUUCGGCUGGGGAUGGGCCCGCGGCCUAUCAGCUAGUUGGUGGGGUAGUGGCCCACCAAGGCGACGACGGGUAGCCGGCCUGAGAGGGCGACCGGCCACACUGGGACUGAGAGACGGCCCAGACGCCUACGGGAGGCAGCAGUGGGGAAUAUUGCGCAAUGGGCGAAAGCCUGACGCAGCGACGCCGCGUGAGGGACGAAGGCCUUCGGGUUGUAAACCUCUUUCAGCAGGGACGAAGCGAAAGUGACGGUACCUGCAGAAGAAGCACCGGCCAACUACGUG
Molecule: ribosomal RNA, 465 nt
Filed under: uncultured bacterium
Lineage: Bacteria
Description: partial 16S ribosomal RNA
Rfam family: Bacterial small subunit ribosomal RNA
Source: RNAcentral